CCCUUACGACCAGGGCUACACACGUGCUACAAUGGCGCAUACAAAGAGAAGCGACCUCGCGAGAGCAAGCGGACCUCAUAAAGUGCGUCGUAGUCCGGAUUGGAGUCUGCAACUCGACUCCAUGAAGUCGGAAUCGCUAGUAAUCGUGGAUCAGAAUGCCACGGUGAAUACGUUCCCGGGCCUUGUACACACCGCCCGUCACACCAUGGGAGUGGGUUGCAAAAGAAGUAGGUAGCUUAACCUUCGGGAGGGCGCUUACCACUUUGUGAUUCAUGACUGGGGUGAAGUCGUAACAAGGUAACCGUAGGGGAACCUGCGGUUGGAUCACCUCCUUACCUUAAAGAAGC
Molecule: ribosomal RNA, 347 nt
Filed under: Escherichia coli
Lineage: Bacteria; Pseudomonadati; Pseudomonadota; Gammaproteobacteria; Enterobacterales; Enterobacteriaceae
Also listed under: 1 other name
Description: bacterial SSU rRNA
Rfam family: Bacterial small subunit ribosomal RNA
Source: RNAcentral